RNAcentral lists this unclassified non-coding RNA (234 nucleotides) under uncultured fungus. RNAcentral describes it as "sequence contains ITS1". The stretch from base 1 to 105 matches the Rfam family "5.8S ribosomal RNA", at positions 50 to 154 of the family's 154-position model. The record is from RNAcentral. Lineage: Eukaryota; Fungi.
GAAAUGCGAUACUUGGUGUGAAUUGCAGAAUUCAGUGAAUCAUCGAAUCUUUGAACGCACCUUGCGCUCUCUGGUAUUCCGGGGAGCAUGCCUGUUUGAGAAUCGCAAAACAACACAAAUCACAUUCAUUUUUUUGAAUGUGGAGUUGAGCCUUUUUCCCUCUUUCUUGUAGAGAGGGAUGGCUUGAAAUACAGAAGGCCGGUCUGGGUAAAACCAGAUGCCAGCCUAUCGAGA